This 263-nucleotide long non-coding RNA is filed under the name Malus domestica (apple). RNAcentral describes it as "long non-coding RNA (MDOM_LNC002803)". Lineage: Eukaryota; Viridiplantae; Streptophyta; Magnoliopsida; Rosales; Rosaceae. The record is from RNAcentral.
AGCCAUUCGGUAAAUAUUUAAAGAAGAGGGAAUUUAGACAACUUCUUCUGAGUCUUUUGCAUUCCUAGCACUGGAACACUUGGUCUACGCUGACCUACCCUUAUACUCCAACUCAGAGCUUCAACAUGCGUACUUUGACACAAAGUAUGUGAUACUAAGUGUUACAACCAACAUGGUUCACAUAUCAAAAGCAUGGAUCCCUUCAUGCAUAGCAAAACAUUAAUAAGCAUCACUCAUAUCAAUCAACAUAAACAUCAUACAUU